UACGUAGGGUGCGAGCGUUGUCCGGAAUUACUGGGCGUAAAGAGCUCGUAGGUGGUUUGUCGCGUUGUUCGUGAAAACUCACGGCUUAACUGUGAGCGUGCGGGCGAUACGGGCAGACUGGAGUACUGCAGGGGAGACUGGAAUUCCUGGUGUAGCGGUGGAAUGCGCAGAUAUCAGGAGGAACACCGGUGGCGAAGGCGGGUCUCUGGGCAGUAACUGACGCUGAGGAGCGAAAGCGUGGGGGAGCGAACAGG
Molecule: ribosomal RNA, 254 nt
Filed under: uncultured bacterium
Lineage: Bacteria
Description: partial 16S ribosomal RNA
Rfam family: Bacterial small subunit ribosomal RNA
Source: RNAcentral